This 497-nucleotide long non-coding RNA is filed under the name Salmo salar (Atlantic salmon). RNAcentral's name for it is "lncRNA (ENSSSAG00000115294.1)". Lineage: Eukaryota; Metazoa; Chordata; Actinopteri; Salmoniformes; Salmonidae. The record is from RNAcentral.
UGCUCUGUUUCAGCUGUUAUGGUCAGUCUAGCUGUAUGGAGGAGAAGGUACUGCUCUGUUUCAGCUGUUAUGGUCAGUCUAGCUGUAUGGAGGAGGAGGUACUGCUCUGUUUCAGCUGUUAUGGUCAGUCUAGCUGUAUGGAGGAGAAGGUACUGCUCUGUUUCAGCUGUUAUGGUCAGUCUAGCUGUAUGGAGGAGAAGGUACUGCUCUGUUUCAGCUGUUAUGGUCAGUCUAGCUGUAUGGAGGAGAAGGUACUGCUCUGUUUCAGCUGUUAUGGUCAGUCUAGCUGUAUGGAGGAGGAGGUACUGCUCUGUUUCAGCUGUUAUGGUCAGUCUAGCUGUAUGGAGGAGAAGGUACUGCUCUGUUUCAGCUGUUAUGGUCAGUCUAGCUGUAUGGAGGAGAAGGUACUGUUCUGUUUCAGCUGUUAUGGUCAGUCUAGCUGUAUGGAGAAGGUACUGCUCUGUUUCAGCUGUUAUGGUCAGUCUAGCUGUAUGGAG